RNAcentral lists this ribosomal RNA (253 nucleotides) under uncultured bacterium. RNAcentral describes it as "partial 16S ribosomal RNA". It matches the Rfam family "Bacterial small subunit ribosomal RNA", at positions 524 to 776 of the family's 1533-position model. The record is from RNAcentral.
UACGUAGGUGGCAAGCGUUGUCCGGAUUUACUGGGCGUAAAGAGCGCGCAGGCGGUCUUUUAAGUCGAAUGUGAAAGCCCCCGGCUCAACUGGGGAGGGUCAUUCGAUACUGAUCGACUUGAAGGCAGGAGAGGGUAGUGGAAUUCCCGGUGUAGUGGUGAAAUUCGUAGAUAUUCGGAAGAACACCAGUGGCGAAGGCGGCUCACUGGACCGGUAUUGACGCUGAGGUGCGAAAGCGUGGGGAGCAAACAGG